GUGAGGAAUCUUCCACAAUGGGCGAAAGCCUGAUGGAGCAACGCCGCGUGAAGGAUGAAGGUCUUCGGAUUGUAAACUUCUUUUAUGAGUGAAGAAUAUGAUGGUAACUCAUGAAUAAGCACCGGCUAACUACGUGCCAGCAGCCGCGGUCAUACGUAGGGUGCAAGCAUUAUCCGGAGUGACUGGGCGUAAAGAGUUGCGUAGGCGGUUAUGUAAGCGAAUAGUGAAACCUGGUGGCUCAACCACACAGACUAUUAUUCGAACUGCAUAACUCGAGAAUGGUAGAGGUAACUGGAAUUUCUUGUGUAGGAGUGAAAUCCGUAGAUAUAAGAAGGAACACCAAUGGCGUAGGCAGGUUACUGGGCCAUUUCUGACGCUAAGGCACGAAAGCGUGGGGAGCGAACCGGAUUAGAAACCCCAGUAGUCC
Molecule: ribosomal RNA, 427 nt
Filed under: uncultured bacterium
Lineage: Bacteria
Description: partial 16S ribosomal RNA
Rfam family: Bacterial small subunit ribosomal RNA
Source: RNAcentral